RNAcentral lists this ribosomal RNA (819 nucleotides) under Triticum aestivum (bread wheat). RNAcentral's name for it is "partial small subunit ribosomal RNA". The record is from RNAcentral. Lineage: Eukaryota; Viridiplantae; Streptophyta; Magnoliopsida; Poales; Poaceae.
AUGAUGGCCGCGCCCAUGGCUCCUCCACCGCACGGCUACACCUACGGCUACGCCCCCGGCUUCAAUCCCGGCGGAUACGGACCCGCACCCAGUGGCUACGCCCCCGGCUUCACCCACGGCGCGUCGACAUCCACCACGCCCUGGGACAUGGGCGCUCUUCAGAGUGCACUGCAGCACUCCGCCCAGUCGCCGCCGUCCGCCGGGAGCUCGUCGGACUGGGUCCUCGACACUGGGGCCUCCGCACACAUGACCUCCAACGCUGGUAACUUGCACUCUGUCCGCCCAGUUUCCACCUCUGCUCGUAUCUUCGUCGGCAACGGUGAUCAUCUCCCGAUCACCGGUGUUGGUGAGGGUGCACUCAUCGUUACCAAUUCCUCUCUGCAACUUCGCAAUGUUCUUCUCUCUCCCUCUCUUAUUCGCAAUCUUUUAUCUGUCCGUCAGUUAACUCGUGAGAACCCUGUUUCAGUAGAAUUUGACAGUUUUGGUUUCUCUGUCAAGGACAUCCGCACUCGAGCGGUGAUUCUGCGAUGUGAUUCCGACGGCGAUCUUUAUCAUGUGGCGUCCAGUUCCUCGGCUCCAUCCGCUCGACACUUCGCCGGCGUUGUCACCGUGGACCUGUGGCACCAACGGCUUAGUCACUCCGGCCAGUUAUCUACCAGUAGUUCGUCUGCUUUGUUUCCUUUUACAUGUAGCAAGUCAGCACCGCACACAUGCCAUGCCUGCCGCAUUGGCAAACAUGUACGCUUGCCAUUUGCUCCAUCACAGUCCUGUACUUAUUUUCCCUUUCAACUGUUGCAUUUGGAUGUAUGGACAUCUCCA